This 525-nucleotide ribosomal RNA is filed under the name Chaceon affinis (king crab). RNAcentral describes it as "partial 16S ribosomal RNA". It matches the Rfam family "Bacterial large subunit ribosomal RNA", at positions 1831 to 2597 of the family's 2925-position model. The record is from RNAcentral. Lineage: Eukaryota; Metazoa; Arthropoda; Malacostraca; Decapoda; Geryonidae.
GUCUAUUUGAAGGUAUUAAUAGUCUGGCCUGCUCACUGACAUAAUAUAGUGUUAAAGAGCCGCGGUAUCCUGACCGUGCAAAGGUAGCAUAAUCAUUAGUUCUUUAAUUGAGAACUUGUAUGAAUGGUCGGACAAGGAGAAACCCUGUCUCUGCUAUUAUAGUAGAAUUUAACUUUUAAGUGAAAAGGCUUAAAUUUUUCAAGGGGACGAUAAGACCCUAUAAAGCUUUAUAUACUAAUUAGAAUUAAUUAAAUUGAGCAUAUAAAAAUUUAGUCUUAAAAAUAUAUUUAGUUGGGGCGACGAAAGUAUAAUUGAUAAUAACUGCUUAAACUUAAUACAAUAAUAAAUGAUUUUUUUUUAGCUGAUCCUUUUUAAAGAUUAAAGACCAAGUUACUUUAGGGAUAACAGCGUAAUUUCUUUUGAGAGUCCGUAUCGAAGAAGAAGUUUGCGACCUCGAUGUUGAAUUAAAAUAUCUUUAUAGUGCAGCAGCUAUAAAAAGAAGGUCUGUUCGACCUUUAAUUUUUU